AUCUUCUGCAAGUUGUUUCGAAAAGUACAGAGGCCUUCAUACUUGUAAAUUAUUUUCGAUGAUAGAAUAUUCAAUUCGAUGAUCGGCUCCGUUAGGGAUAAUUUACGGUAUUAAAACUGUUUAAAAAUUAAAUUUCACAAUUUUUCGACAUUAUAAUGUUUCAAAAAUGAUUAUUUUUCUUAACAUCAAUAGUAAGAUCAAUACUUCUGAUUUGAAAUUUAAAUCUUUUAUCACUAAUUUUUAUGAGAUUUUUAUUUUCUGUCAUUCAUUUUGAGGCUACUCCUUCACUAAACAAGCGAAGUCAAAAAAUUAUAAAUUUAGUUUCUAGAUAGUACCAAUAGCGUAGAUUAUAUUUAAUGGAACCGAUCGCCAAAUCGGAUGUCCUAUCAUCGAAAAUAACUUACAAUAACGUAGAUCAUGUUUUUAGAUGAUAUCCCAUCAUGGAAUUUGAUUUCUAGAUAGUUCUAAUAGCAUAGAUCACGUUUAACGGAACUGAUCGACGAAUCAGAUAUUCUAUCAUCGAAAAUAACUUAUAAGUACGGAGGCUUUCGUACUUUGAAAAAUAUAGGAACCUAGCUCUUUCUCUAUACAUAUACAUUAUAUUU
This 605-nucleotide long non-coding RNA is filed under the name Ananas comosus (pineapple). RNAcentral describes it as "long non-coding RNA (ACOM_LNC015597)". The record is from RNAcentral. Lineage: Eukaryota; Viridiplantae; Streptophyta; Magnoliopsida; Poales; Bromeliaceae.